AGAGUUUGAUCAUGGCUCAGAUUGAACGCUGGCGGUAUGCUUAACACAUGCAAGUCGAACGGUAACAGUCCCUCACCUAGAAAUUUCUUAAAAAGAGAUUUGUAGGUGAGGGAGCUGACGAGUGGCGGACGGGUGCGUAAUGUAUAGGAAUCUGCCUAGUAGUGGGGGACAACUCGGAGAAAUUCGAGCUAAUACCGCAUAAGCCCUACGGGGGAAAACGGGGGAUCUUCGGACCUCGUGCUAUUAGAUGAGCCUAUAUUAGAUUAGCUUGUUGGUGAGGUAAUGGCCCACCAAGGCGACGAUCUAUAGCUGGUCUGAGAGGAUGAUCAGCCACACUGGGACUGAGACACGGCCCAGACUCCUACGGGAGGCAGCAGUGGGGAAUAUUGGACAAUGGGCGAAAGCCUGAUCCAGCAAUACCGCGUGUGUGAAGAAGGCCUGAGGGUUGUAAAGCACUUUCAAUUGGGAGGAAUACCUAAUAGUUAAUAGCUAUUAGAUUGAC
RNAcentral lists this ribosomal RNA (502 nucleotides) under uncultured bacterium. RNAcentral describes it as "bacterial SSU rRNA". It matches the Rfam family "Bacterial small subunit ribosomal RNA", at positions 8 to 473 of the family's 1533-position model. The record is from RNAcentral.